RNAcentral lists this long non-coding RNA (420 nucleotides) under Ananas comosus (pineapple). RNAcentral's name for it is "long non-coding RNA (ACOM_LNC005384)". The record is from RNAcentral. Lineage: Eukaryota; Viridiplantae; Streptophyta; Magnoliopsida; Poales; Bromeliaceae.
CAAAUUGAAUCUUCUUUCCAAAAACUUCGCUUUUAACUCUUCAACACUCCAUUUGACUUUACGAAAUUCGCCAACUUAGAAAAUUCUUAACAAUUUAAUCUUCUUCUUCAUUCUUAUAUAAUUUUUUGUCUUUAUUUUUUUCUGCUUCCUUCUUUUAUAAUUUUUUUUUGUCACGUCUCUCCGCCAGCGGCCACGGCGCUGACAACGAUGCCGUUAAAGACCGCCCGCUCCGAGGCUGCAGCGCUAUAGCGACCUCUGCGGUGCCGAUGUCGGCGGAGAGGCGUCAUCGUCAGAGGCGACGGAGGAGGCGAAAUAUGAGGGAAGGGAAAGGGCGAGAAGGGCGAGAGAGGGUGAGAUAGGUGUCGUCGUCGGAGGGGGUGGAGGAGGGUCAGAGUGGGGAAAAAAAAAGUCGCAGCGCGG